UAUUAGGUUGGUGCAAAAAUAAUUGAGGUUUUUGCCAUUAAAAGUAAUUGCAAAAACCACAAUUAUUUUUGCACCAACCUAGUA
Pan troglodytes (chimpanzee) is the source of this 84-nucleotide microRNA precursor. It matches the Rfam family "mir-548 microRNA precursor family". The record is from Rfam. Lineage: Eukaryota; Metazoa; Chordata; Mammalia; Primates; Hominidae.